CAGCAGUAGCCGCGGUAAUACGAAGGGGGCUAGCGUUGCUCGGAAUUACUGGGCGUAAAGGGAGCGUAGGCGGAUCGUUUAGUUGGGGGUGAAAUCCCGGGGCUCAACCUCGGAACUGCCUUCAAUACUGGCGAUCUUGAGUAUGGGAGAGGUGAGUGGAACUCCGAGUGUAGAGGUGAAAUUCGUAGAUAUUCGGAAGAACACCAGUGGCGAAGGCGACUCACUGGCCCAUUACUGACGCUGAGGCUCGAAAGCGUGGGGAGCAAACAGGAUUAGAUACCCCAGUAGUCCCUGUCUCUUAUAC
RNAcentral lists this ribosomal RNA (304 nucleotides) under uncultured bacterium. RNAcentral's name for it is "partial 16S ribosomal RNA". It matches the Rfam family "Bacterial small subunit ribosomal RNA", at positions 506 to 807 of the family's 1533-position model. The record is from RNAcentral.